AAGACCCCUUGAAGACGACGAGGUAGAUAGGUUGGAGGUGGAAGUGCAGCAAUGCAUGGAGCUGACCAAUACUAAUCGGUCGAGGGCUUAUCCUA
RNAcentral lists this ribosomal RNA (95 nucleotides) under Paenibacillus sp. PastH-3. RNAcentral's name for it is "partial 23S ribosomal RNA". It matches the Rfam family "Bacterial large subunit ribosomal RNA", at positions 2830 to 2925 of the family's 2925-position model. The record is from RNAcentral. Lineage: Bacteria; Bacillati; Bacillota; Bacilli; Caryophanales; Paenibacillaceae. RNAcentral also lists the same sequence under 2 other names.